UGUCCAAGAUGGGAAUCGAACCCACAGUGUUCCGCUUACCGGGCAGAUGCCAUGUCCACUAGGCUACCCUGGAC
Cordylochernes scorpioides is the source of this 74-nucleotide non-coding RNA. Lineage: Eukaryota; Metazoa; Arthropoda; Arachnida; Pseudoscorpiones; Chernetidae. The record is from the annotation of a GenBank genome assembly.